UGCAGUCGUGGCGGAAUUGGCAUACGCGCAAGACUAAGGAUCUUGUGAGCCUAGCUCGUACGGGUUCAAGUCCCGUCGACUGCAG
RNAcentral lists this transfer RNA (85 nucleotides) under Anaerocolumna cellulosilytica. Its description in RNAcentral is "tRNA-Leu". It matches the Rfam family "tRNA". From Rfam's summary of the family: Transfer RNA (tRNA) molecules are approximately 80 nucleotides in length. Their secondary structure includes four short double-helical elements and three loops (D, anti-codon, and T loops). Further hydrogen bonds mediate the characteristic L-shaped molecular structure. tRNAs have two regions of fundamental functional importance: the anti-codon, which is responsible for specific mRNA codon recognition, and the 3' end, to which the tRNAs corresponding amino acid is attached (by aminoacyl-tRNA synthetases). tRNAs cope with the degeneracy of the genetic code in two manners: having more than one tRNA (with a specific anti-codon) for a particular amino acid; and 'wobble' base-pairing, i.e. permitting non-standard base-pairing at the 3rd anti-codon position. Lineage: Bacteria; Bacillati; Bacillota; Clostridia; Lachnospirales; Lachnospiraceae. The record is from RNAcentral.